UGGCUCAGUGGUAGAGCACUUGCCUUGCAUGCAUGAGGCCUUGGGUUCGAUUCCUCA
Dipodomys ordii (Ord's kangaroo rat) is the source of this 57-nucleotide non-coding RNA. NCBI's taxonomy places the organism in Eukaryota, Metazoa, Chordata, Mammalia, Rodentia, Heteromyidae. The record is from Rfam.